UACAGAGGGGGCAAGCGUUAUUCGGAAUUAUUGGGCGUAAAGGGCGCGUAGGCGGCCUGGCAAGUGGAAGGUGAAAUCCCUCGGCUUAACCGAGGAACUGCCUCCCAAACUGCUUGGCUUGAGACCGGGAGAGGUGAGUGGAAUUCCCAGUGUAGCGGUGAAAUGCGUAGAUAUUGGGAGGAACACCGGUGGCGAAGGCGGCAUCCUGGACCGGUAUUGACGCUGAGGCGCGAAAGCUAGGGGAGCAAACGGG
This 253-nucleotide ribosomal RNA is filed under the name uncultured bacterium. Its description in RNAcentral is "partial 16S ribosomal RNA". It matches the Rfam family "Bacterial small subunit ribosomal RNA", at positions 524 to 776 of the family's 1533-position model. The record is from RNAcentral.